RNAcentral lists this ribosomal RNA (218 nucleotides) under uncultured bacterium. RNAcentral's name for it is "partial 16S ribosomal RNA". It matches the Rfam family "Bacterial small subunit ribosomal RNA", at positions 524 to 737 of the family's 1533-position model. The record is from RNAcentral.
UACGAAGGGGACUAGCGUUGUUCGGAAUCACUGGGCGUAAAGCGCACGUAGGCGGAUAUGUCAGUCAGGGGUGAAAUCCCGGGGCUCAACCUCGGAACUGCCUUUGAUACAGCAUAUCUUGAGUCCGAUAGAGGUGGGUGGAAUUCCUAGUGUACGAGGUGAAAUUCGUAGAUAUUAGGAAGAACACCGGGUGGCGCAAGGCGGCCCCACUGGAUCGG